CACUUUGUGGUUCAUGACUGGGGUGAAGUCGUAACAAGGUAGCGCUAGGGGAACCUGGCGCUGGAUCACCUCCUUAAUACGAUGAU
RNAcentral lists this ribosomal RNA (86 nucleotides) under Vibrio parahaemolyticus. RNAcentral's name for it is "partial 16S ribosomal RNA". The stretch from base 1 to 76 matches the Rfam family "Bacterial small subunit ribosomal RNA", at positions 1458 to 1533 of the family's 1533-position model. The record is from RNAcentral. Lineage: Bacteria; Pseudomonadati; Pseudomonadota; Gammaproteobacteria; Vibrionales; Vibrionaceae.